Manis pentadactyla (Chinese pangolin) is the source of this 2209-nucleotide long non-coding RNA. RefSeq lists it as uncharacterized. The transcript has 4 exons. The record is from RefSeq and is a predicted model, not a curated record. Lineage: Eukaryota; Metazoa; Chordata; Mammalia; Pholidota; Manidae.
UUGGCCAAGAGCAAAAGAGCCUCUGGAAGGGCUCAGCUGCCACCCACCCCGCACAAGAAGGGCGGUGGGAUCCUGAGCCUCAGCGUGGCUUCGUUUCAGUUCACUCUUCAAGCGUUCUAUCAGAAUCCAGAAUCUUGUUCUUUUGUAGGAGAAAACAAACAGCAAGGACAGGUUUUGGCGACUUUACUUACAGGUAAGCGGGAGUGUCAAACACGAGCUUGGUACGACCAAGGCUUUGCUUUCUUUGAUGGUCAUCCCACAGAAGUCUCUUGCUCCUCUUCCUGAUUUGCUGGGCACCUUUCCCCAUCCAGCCUCCUGUUCUGCACAUCUGUAAUGCAUGGGCAUCUCUGUAUGUACGGGGGCAUUUACAAGCUUUGGAGAAUGCGUGGGCCUGACAGCACCUGACACUUGAUUUGUUGUUACUGAUUUCUUCCUCAGAGUUGCAGAAACUCUCCCCAUAUGUGGCUGAGCCGCUGGAAAGAACUCUGCCCUUGCCAUGUGUUCCUAAUCGGUGGGCUCCCAGCAAGCAUGGAACCUAGCCUGCCGUUGCACGAGGCUGAGUUGGCUCCCAGGCACUGUCAUUUGAUCUCUCCCCUGCUCUCAUCCGCGAUCGGGAACUGAAAAUAUUUACUUUGUGUUGGCUCGACAAAAACCAGUAAAUAGCAGCCUUUGCAGGGCCCAGAACACACACCAAAGGAGCAGAGGAAGGAAGGUCCAAACAGCCCCAGUUAUACUUAGAAGAGGGAGUGUUCUGAGCUGGGAUGCAAAACCCAGAGGCAGGGUCAAGUCUCAGGUUUCUUUUGCCUCUGAAGUCAGUUAUUUACUGACCGGGGCUUUGGAACCAAAUGAAAGUACGACCACCCCUGCCCCCUCGCCCUCAUGUUCAUUGCUAAAUCUCUUUUGGGAAAUGCAGCUGUAAUGGGUUUUCUGAUCAUUUUCUCUGUUUCUGUUAUGAGAUUGUUUAUUCACUCAAUCAGCCAUUUAAUACCUUUUUACUGAGUAACCCCCAUUUUCUAGGCUUUAUUAUGGGUGCUGGAGACUCAGUAAUGAACUAUAGGAAUCUCCAUCUCAAGAUAAUAAGUCAAUAGGAUAAUUUCAGAUUGAUUCAACUAAUAGGAAAGAGACAACCUAGGGGUUAUUUAUAGAGAAAAACUGUAGAGUGUUGUUAGGUGAUUAUACCAGCCUUCCUGACAUACUAUUUGACUCUAGACCUAAAGGAAAAGAGGCAACCAUGCAAAAACUGGUAGGCAGGUGAUAAGGCAGAAGAGACAGUAAGUGUAAGAGAAGAGAUUCAUGUUAUGAUAGAAUGGAAAACACAUUAGAGUACCAGGGACCACAUCAGGGAAAAGAAUGGAGUAGAAGAUAACUUUAUCACUAUCUCUGCAAUAUAUUUUUUCAAGCUGAUCCUUACUACCAUCUCAUCAAUUUUGUAUUCUUACACCUGUUUAAUCAGGACCAUAAAACUAAGGCUUGAUAAUAGCACAUGGAUAUCUUGAAAUAGAGUGGAAGCAAAACGAAGUGCUGCUAAUAUCUGCCAAAGAUGAGGUGAAGUGGUGCAACCCAGGAGGCCUGGGGACCCCAUUGCACAUGACCACAGAGCACCCUGCUCUACACCAGCAAUCACUGAUCUGCUCCCUGCUCCAUCCAAGGCACAUCUGAGGUUUCCAGACCAUGCCCUGACAGCCACAAGCUAUUCAGAGGACAUCAGUCCUGUCUUACAUAGGAAGGACUACUUCAUGAUGAAGAUCCUUAGGAAUAGGAGGCAUGGCACAGCACAGCACACUGAGCCACCCAGGGCAGCACCAGUGUUGGUCAGGAGGCGGAUGGAGUGGGGACCAUGUGGACAAGGGCCUCUGUUGUGGUUUGCACAGGAAGAAGCCAACAUGCAGCUUCCUGGUGCAGAGCUCCGGUGCUGGACAGCAGUAGCCUGGGCUUCCCCUUGAUGGGCUCCCCGCUGCUCAAAGCCAGCCAUCUCCUUUCUCUACUCUUCUCUUCCAUUGUUGGGUCAUGACUGCAAACUCGUCUCCCAAAUUCAUCUCACUUGAGAGACACCGGUUUAUCCUUUCUUUCUCCUAUGACUGUAGAUUACCCAUCACAUAGUUGAGAACACUCUGCAGUUACUUGUCAGUGCAUUUUGAUCACUUACAUGUGUAUCCAUAGGUUAUAUUCCUAGAGGGCAAUUGUUUACUCAAGGGAAAGAUUAAUUUGU